UGGAGUAUAGCUCAGUUGGUUAGAGCACACCCCUGAUAAGGGUGAGGUCGAUGGUUCAAGUCCAUUUACUCCAACCA
This 77-nucleotide transfer RNA is filed under the name Mycoplasmataceae bacterium. Its description in RNAcentral is "tRNA-Ile". It matches the Rfam family "tRNA". Rfam says of the family: Transfer RNA (tRNA) molecules are approximately 80 nucleotides in length. Their secondary structure includes four short double-helical elements and three loops (D, anti-codon, and T loops). Lineage: Bacteria; Bacillati; Mycoplasmatota; Mollicutes; Mycoplasmatales; Mycoplasmataceae. The record is from RNAcentral.